CUCAACCUGGGAAUUGCAUUGGAGACUGCAAGGCUAGAAUCUGGCAGAGGGGGGUAGAAUUCCACGUGUAGCAGUGAAAUGCGUAGAUAUGUGGAGGAACACCGAUGGCGAAGGCAGCCCCCUGGGUCAAGAUUGACGCUCAUGCACGAAAGCGUGGGGAGCAAACAGGAUUAGAUACCCUGGUAGUCCACGCCCUAAACGAUGUCUACUAGUUGUCGGGUCUUAAUUGACUUGGUAACGCAGCUAACGCGUGAAGUAGACCGCCUGGGGAGUACGGUCGCAAGAUUAAAACUCAAAGGAAUUGACGGGGACCCGCACAAGCGGUGGAUGAUGUGGAUUAAUUCGAUGCAACGCGAAAAACCUUACCUACCCUUGACAUGGCUGGAAUCCCCGAGAGAUUGGGGAGUGCUCGAAAGAGAACCA
RNAcentral lists this ribosomal RNA (423 nucleotides) under uncultured beta proteobacterium. Its description in RNAcentral is "bacterial SSU rRNA". It matches the Rfam family "Bacterial small subunit ribosomal RNA", at positions 608 to 1029 of the family's 1533-position model. The record is from RNAcentral. Lineage: Bacteria; Pseudomonadati; Pseudomonadota; Betaproteobacteria.